Larimichthys crocea (large yellow croaker) is the source of this 431-nucleotide long non-coding RNA. RefSeq lists it as uncharacterized. The transcript has 3 exons. NCBI's taxonomy places the organism in Eukaryota, Metazoa, Chordata, Actinopteri, Sciaenidae. The record is from RefSeq and is a predicted model, not a curated record.
AGAAAACAAACCUGGCGCCAAGAGAGAAGAUUUGGAGAGACGUGGAUUUGGUGGCUGAGAUUGUUGUCUGACUACAAUGUUGAAGUGUGUCUCGGCAAGUCUGUCGGUGCUGUUAAGGAGAAGUCUUUCAGGUCUGGGUGUUUUGAUAAGCAGAGAGCGGAUAGGAGUACACGGCAACGGCAGACAUAUCGCCUUCCCAAGGAUGAUGCAGUCAAACAUGUCACCUUGUGUUCACCCGAAACUCUGGCGUCCGUCUUCGACUAAUCAAAAACACGCCUCAACUUGUGUGUGACAUCAGAUGAAAAGUGACGGCGUGGCUCUAAGUUUGAAUUCUCAUCAAUAAAAACUGAGAUCAGACUCACACACAAACAAACGUACACCAACGACGGCCUAUACUUAAGUUCAAGUUUAAGGACGAGUGUGUCAUGAGG